GCGGAGGAAAAGAAACUAACUAGGAUUCCCUUAGUAACGGCGAGUGAACCGGGAUGAGCUCAAAUUUGAAAUCUGGCGUCUUUCAGGCGUCCGAGUUGUAAUCUAUAGAGGCGUUUUCCGCGCCGGACCGCGUCCAAGUCUCUUGGAAUAGAGUAUCAAAGAGGGUGACAAUCCCGUACUUGACGCGACAACCGGUGCUCUGUGAUACGUUCUCAAUGAGUCGAGUUGUUUGGGAAUGCAGCUCUAAAUGGGUGGUAAAUUCCAUCUAAGGCUAAAUAUUGGCGAGAGACCGAUAGCGAACAAGUACCGUGAGGGAAAGAUGAAAAGCACUUUGGAAAGAGAGUUAAACAGCACGUGAAAUUGUUAAAAGGGAAACGAUUGAAGUCAGUCGUGUGGGAAGUAUUCAGCCGUCUCUGGCGGUGUAUUUGCUUCUCACGGGUCAACAUCAGUUUGAUCCGGUAGAAAAAGGCGGGAAGAAGGUGGCAUCCUCGGGUGUGUUAUAGCUUCCUGUCAUAUGUGCCGGACCAGACUGAGGAACGCAGCUUGCAGCAAUGCCGGGGUUCGCCCACGUACAAGCUUAGGAUGUUGACAUAAUGGCUUUAAACGACCCGUCU
This 614-nucleotide ribosomal RNA is filed under the name Vishniacozyma carnescens. RNAcentral's name for it is "LSU rRNA". It matches the Rfam family "Eukaryotic large subunit ribosomal RNA", at positions 50 to 654 of the family's 3401-position model. The record is from RNAcentral. Lineage: Eukaryota; Fungi; Basidiomycota; Tremellomycetes; Tremellales; Bulleribasidiaceae.